AAUGGGCAUAUAAUGAAUCUUAUCAUGUAAACGGGUAAUUUGCGUCUGAAUUUCAUUGACGCUAUAUCACCUUGGAGGCCUGGUGCCAACC
Molecule: small nucleolar RNA, 91 nt
Organism: Lotus japonicus
Lineage: Eukaryota; Viridiplantae; Streptophyta; Magnoliopsida; Fabales; Fabaceae
Source: RefSeq, a predicted model, not a curated record